CGCGGCGUAGAGCAGUGGUAGCUCGGGAGGUUCAUUCCCUCCAGGUCGCAGGUUCGAGUCCUGCCGCCGCAA
This 72-nucleotide transfer RNA is filed under the name Xylanibacter rodentium. Its description in RNAcentral is "tRNA-Met". It matches the Rfam family "tRNA". Rfam says of the family: Transfer RNA (tRNA) molecules are approximately 80 nucleotides in length. Their secondary structure includes four short double-helical elements and three loops (D, anti-codon, and T loops). RNAcentral also lists the same sequence under 2 other names. The record is from RNAcentral. Lineage: Bacteria; Pseudomonadati; Bacteroidota; Bacteroidia; Bacteroidales; Prevotellaceae.